UUCUUCCUCUUCCUUACAACAAGCACCUGUUGAGCACCCACCUUCCAGGUGCAACGAGCAGUAUUUAGGCAUUGCUACUCUUCCAGAGAGCCCUUUCAACACCUUGAGACCAGCCUGGCUGUGCCCUGCAGAUCUCACUCUCCCUACUGCUCUAGAGGCGUGAAGCUUUCCAGUUGCUGCCUUGAGGAGCUUCUGAAGUGAUCCUUGGAAAUGGGAUGAGAAUGCAGGCUUUGUAAAGGAACAGGCAAAGGUGGUGUGUUUCUGCAAAGGGAUUGUGACCUGAAGGAUAAGGAAUGACAGUGAGAUGUUUUGGAUGCCACUGCUGUUACACAUGUGACAUGGAAACAGGAUGUCUUUCUCUAGUUAAGCACUUUUGGAUCCUGCAGGAUGCAGACAUUACUCUUGUAAUAAUGGCCAUGGUAAUUUCCAAGAGCAUGCUGGAGAAACCUAGACAUGCUUUUCUGGUGUACUGUGGCAGCUGGGGGUAUUUUCUUACCUCUCUUGCCUUUCCCACGACACUGUUUGCCUCCUGUCGCUGGCCUUCGAGGCUCAACAUCUCUGUGUCCUUGUCAGGGGUCAAGCUCCCUGCUCCUGUUUCAAGGGCAGUGCUGAGCGUUUGGUGAGUGGCAAGAGGGGAUGAGAAAUGGAGGUUCAGCUGACCUGCCGCAGUGCUGCUAUUUGACUUUUCAUGCACCCAGCAGCGGAGGGGAGGCAGGGAGAGGAUCCAGGGGUCGAUCUGGCUGCGGGUUAAUCUAUUCUGACAGCAGAGCUGUCGAGGUAUCUUUGCUUAAUGGGACCCAGAGAUAAUUGGAUUUAGCAGUCGGGGCCAGGCUGUGAACCCUGGGGCAAAAGGGCUGCUAAUUGGGAUUUCCCCCUGUGUGUUUGGUGGGGGGGUCAGGGUGUCUGCUGGUCGGGAGGUGGCUGGGGGCAGCAGUCCUUGCUUCACUCCCUUUGCUUUUCCACAGAGCUUGGAGUAAUGAGCCACAACUCACAGCUCCCUCCUCGGGGUCGGAGUGAAAUUCCUUUUUUUUUUGUCAUCACCUCCUUUUGCUCCCUCUCAUUUCAGGUGACUUCUCUAGUAGUUAAUCUCCAAUGAAUAUUUUAAGGAGAAAAACGUAAGGGUUAAAGAAUGGCUCUUUGUUUGCGUGUGUUCUUAGGCAGCAUUUCAAACCAUCCCUAGGAAAUAAUAAAAGUUACAGAAGCUGGUGACAAGAAAGACAAAACGUGAUGCUACUGAAAAGUAAUUUAAAAUGCAAAUUUGCCAGAGAAAUUGCAGCCCCCCUAAUUGCAGCCUUCUCUCUUCGCGUGGCUUCAAAAGCUCUGCAUGCUACCUUCCUCCCUCCGGGAAGGGCCUCAGCCGCGGCUGUGCUGCCACACUCUGACCUCUCUGGUGAAAUACGGGUGACCCGAAAUAAAACCCAGAGAAGGGGAAGGACAACUUCCCCCCCUUGAAACUCAGCCCUCCAUGGCUGGUGCUCAGGGAGGGGGCUCUUGUUCCAUGGACAGGGGUGGGGGCAAUGCUUUGUAGGGCAAAGACCGUGACUGUGUGGGUCGGGAGAACACUUAACUGGCUGAGAGCACUUUUGGGUCAAUCUUCAAUGGGGAAAAAAUUCCUCAAAACUGUAAUUGUACUUAAGAAAAAGU
Pogoniulus pusillus (Red-fronted tinkerbird) is the source of this 1644-nucleotide long non-coding RNA. RefSeq lists it as uncharacterized. The transcript has 3 exons. The record is from RefSeq and is a predicted model, not a curated record. Lineage: Eukaryota; Metazoa; Chordata; Aves; Piciformes; Lybiidae.